Molecule: transfer RNA, 87 nt
Filed under: Oscillospiraceae bacterium
Lineage: Bacteria; Bacillati; Bacillota; Clostridia; Eubacteriales; Oscillospiraceae
Description: tRNA-Leu
Rfam family: tRNA
About the family: Transfer RNA (tRNA) molecules are approximately 80 nucleotides in length. Their secondary structure includes four short double-helical elements and three loops (D, anti-codon, and T loops).
Source: RNAcentral
GCCGGUGUGAUGGAAUUGGCAGACGUGAUGGACUCAAAAUCCAUUGUUGGCGACAACGUGCCGGUUCGAGUCCGGCCACCGGCACCA